Molecule: ribosomal RNA, 253 nt
Filed under: uncultured bacterium
Lineage: Bacteria
Description: partial 16S ribosomal RNA
Rfam family: Bacterial small subunit ribosomal RNA
Source: RNAcentral
UACGUAGGGUGCGAGCGUUGUCCGGAAUUAUUGGGCGUAAAGGGCUCGUAGGCGGUUUGUCGCGUCGGGAGUGAAAACCUCGGGCUUAACUCGGGGCUUGCUUUCGAUACGGGCAGACUGGAGGUAUGCAGGGGAGAACGGAAUUCCUGGUGUAGCGGUGAAAUGCGCAGAUAUCAGGAGGAACACCGGUGGCGAAGGCGGUUCUCUGGGCAUUACCUGACGCUGAGGAGCGAAAGUGUGGGGAGCGAGCAGG